AAUCUACUCCCUCCGUUCGGAAUUACUUGUCUCGGAAAUGGAUGUAUCUAGAACUAAAAUACGUCUAGGUACAUCCAUCUUUGCGACAAGUAAUUCCAAACGGAGGGAGUAGCUC
Non-coding RNA from Triticum aestivum (bread wheat), 115 nucleotides. Lineage: Eukaryota; Viridiplantae; Streptophyta; Magnoliopsida; Poales; Poaceae. The record is from Rfam.